This 223-nucleotide unclassified non-coding RNA is filed under the name Hevea brasiliensis (rubber tree). Lineage: Eukaryota; Viridiplantae; Streptophyta; Magnoliopsida; Malpighiales; Euphorbiaceae. The record is from RNAcentral.
AUAAAAAAAAAAAAAAAAAUUGAAUUCAAUUUGGCCACUUGCAAAAUAAAAAAUUAAUUAAAAGAUGCAUUUUGGUCAAAGCAAUGGGAAGAUAUAAGAGAAAAAUGGGAAAGCUUGAACUAAAUUGACCCUUUUUUCUCAAAAAUUGAUGAAACUUGUUCAGGUGGGUCACAUAUUGGGUAGAGAAACAGAUGAAAACCAAAAGGGGUGGGAAGAAAGGGAG